GUGGGGAAUAUUGGACAAUGGGGGGAACCCUGAUCCAGCCAUGCCGCGUGUGUGAAGAAGGCCUUUUGGUUGUAAAGCACUUUAAGCGAGGAGGAGGCUACCGAGAUUAAUACUCUUGGAUAGUGGACGUUACUCGCAGAAUAAGCACCGGCUAACUUCGUGCCAGCAGCCGCGGUAAUACAGAGGGUGCGAGCGUUAAUCGGAUUUACUGGGCGUAAAGCGUGCGUAGGCGGCUUUUUAAGUCGGAUGUGAAAUCCCUGAGCUUAACUUAGGAAUUGCAUUCGAUACUGGAAAGCUAGAGUAUGGGAGAGGAUGGUAGAAUUCCAGGUGUAGCGGUGAAAUGCGUAGAGAUCUGGAGGAAUACCGAUGGCGAAGGCAGCCAUCUGGCCUAAUACUGACGCUGAGGUACGAAAGCAUGGGGAGCAAACAGGAUUAGAUACCCCUGUAGUCC
This 451-nucleotide ribosomal RNA is filed under the name uncultured bacterium. Its description in RNAcentral is "partial 16S ribosomal RNA". It matches the Rfam family "Bacterial small subunit ribosomal RNA", at positions 354 to 796 of the family's 1533-position model. The record is from RNAcentral.